RNAcentral lists this unclassified non-coding RNA (2853 nucleotides) under Mizuhopecten yessoensis (Yesso scallop). Its description in RNAcentral is "basement membrane-specific heparan sulfate proteoglycan core protein-like, transcript variant X3". The record is from RNAcentral. Lineage: Eukaryota; Metazoa; Mollusca; Bivalvia; Pectinida; Pectinidae.
UGUAGGACAUAUCUAGGUUACACAGACAAGGAAGUUUAAAACCCAAUCAGUAUUUAACAUUUUACAAAAAACAAGAUUAGCUCUGUAGCAGAUGACAACACACAUGUAUUUGAAGGGCAUAGGAGGUAUGAUCAGUAGAUGUUUCUUACUGAUAACGGCGCUUUCGUAUAUAGAUGCCGUUACAUUAAAUGGGUCGUCAGAGUACGCUGUUCCCGGAAGUGAGUUUACACUGACGUGUGAGGUACCAGAGGAGGCAAACAUUGUUACAUUUUACCGCCGUCCUGAUGUUUCUACUCCAGUAGGAAGUAUACAAGUAGCUGGUGACCAAUGCUAUAACACCAAAGCCAGCCCAGCUGUCCUCUGUACACCGGAUGUCUGUUCCUGUGUAACAACCUCGACUGGAGGCCGUGGUACAGUGUUCCGAUGGGUCUUACGACCACAGAGUGGAGACCACGGAUCCGAGUGGUUUUGUGGGCGUACUAACUUUAAUUUGACAGACCAAAUAAGGCAGAGUCCGGACUAUACACUAAAAAUAGCUGAUGCUGUUACGUUAACUGGGUCAUCCGAAUGGGCUGUGCCCGGAAGUGAGUUUACAUUGACGUGCAAUGUACCAGAGGAGGCAAAUGAUGUUACAUUUUACCGUCGUCCUGACUUGUCUACUACAGUAGGUGUGAUACAAGUAGCUGGUGACCAAUGCUAUAACACCAAAGCCAGCCCACCUGUCCUCUGUACACCGGAUGUUUGCUCUUGUGUUACCACGUCGACUGGAGGCCUUGGUACAGUGUUCCGGUGGGUCAUACAACCACAGACAGGAGACCAUGGAUCUAUUUGGUUUUGUAGACGCACCAACAUAAAUCUGAUAAAUAUAUCCCAGGACAGUCCCGAGUACACGCUUGCAAUAGUAGAUGGUCCAGGAGAAUCAAUUUCUUUGUCCCCGCCUGAUACGGUCUACACAAGAAACGAGGGUGAUAGGUUACCGGACAUCACCUGUACAGCUGAUUGUAGACCUAGCUGUAUUUUCAUCUGGACAAAACCUGACUUCACCAAUUUUACUGCCUCAGCUGUGUUGUCACUGGGACAACUGGACAGAUCAGAGCAUGGGACAUACAGAUGUACUGCUAGGAAUGAUGUCGGCGAGUCAUCCACAGCUGUGGUUAUAGCCGUAUUGUAUCGCCCUUACCUAGUCAUCAGUCCGUCUAGUAACCCUUACAUUGUUGAGGAAGGCCAGACAGGCGUUACCUUUCAGUGUACGGCGACUAACACCAAUCCACCUGUCACCUCAAUAUCGUGGAGGACGGGGACAACCACGGUGUCCAGCACUGGUAUAUACAAUUUAACCACAAUCUCUCCGAGAGAUGCUGGCGUGUAUGUGUGUUCCGCCAGCAACAGUAUUGGUACAACGACUGCAAACUUAACAUUAGAAGUUAUAUCCAUGCCAAGGACACCAAAAAUAUUUGGCAUCACGAAACUGUCGUCAUCAUCACUGACGUUGAAAUGGACACCCAAUGACCAGGAUAAUUCGGCCAACACCUUCACCAUAGCGUACUCAUGCGUAGACUGUGACGUUACGGAUGUGAUGUCAGUUGAUGUCGAAGGUACCGGAGACACCCAAUUUACGACUCUUACGGACUUGCGGACAAACACACAGUACUAUAUUAACGUCACAGCGAGCAAUACUGCCGGCUCGAGCGUUUCGGCGGAACUGACUGCAGUAACCGCACCGGGUAUCAUCAAUGUAUGUACUGCUUCUCAAGAUACUGUUGGACCUACCUCAACUGCAGUGAUCGUUGUUAGCGCAAUCCUGAUUGUAGCAGCAGUGGUUUGUUUUGGAAUCUCUGUAUUUGUUUACCGAAAGGCACGUGUACUAAACAGGGCUGCUGGUCAGCAGGGAAUUGUGCAGAAGCCAGUAAAAUUCAGUGACGUACUUAAUCCAGAUACGAUACCAGCUCAUGCAGAAGAAAGAUCUCACUACCAAGACCUCGACCCUAAAGACAUUGGAAAACCAUCACUUUAUGAAGGCACCACUACUGCUGAAACAAACAAUGCUGAAAGAGGUCAUUAUCAAGAACUCGACCCAAAGGACGUAGGGAUGCAAUCAUCAUAUGAAAUCACUGCUAGAGGUAAAUCUGGUGUAGUUCGACGGAUACCAGCUGAAAUAUACUAACAUAAUACAGAUCACAUAUACUAUGAACAGCCAUAACAGCCUUAUCGUAUCCUCUUGCUUACAACAGUCCGAUUUAUUUCCCUUGAUAAGGAAUAUUUUCAUACUAUAUAUCAUAUUGUCCCCGGGUGUUCUUUUUAAAUAUUUGUGAAACAGGUUAUCGAUAUUCACGACGCCAUUUGUUAAAAUAUCCAGUUAUUUUGCAUUUAAAAAACAUACCCCUGGUAAUUUAAUCUAUGCAUUAUUAAUUCAGUGAACAUUUUGCCUAUGGCUUACACAUUUUUAGUGGCAUACGGUUAGUAAAUAAUAUAACAAUAAUAAUAAACAAAUAUUAGUUGUGGGAAUUUUUGUAAUGAUACAAUGUUUUAACAACAUGCCGUUAUUGACAUUAACUGUAUAUAGUAAAACCUCGAUAUCAUGCCCCUCGUCUCUCAGAUGCCACAUCCUUAAACGCAAACAUAUUUCUUUUUUUGUCGUUUUUGGAAGAAUUCAUUUUCUCGUUUUCCUCAAUUUAUCGCAAAACCCCUUUAUAAAGCCAAACAUUCUCUGGAUAAAUGGUGGCAGUAUAACGAGGUUUUACUUUAAUUCGUUUUUUAAAGUUAACACUGAUGUGGAUAGCGAUGCUGCAAGAGACCAAUAUGAAUCUGGACAAUCUACGCGACAUGACUACAAAAAUGUUACAGGAAAGAGAG